This 375-nucleotide ribosomal RNA is filed under the name uncultured bacterium. Its description in RNAcentral is "bacterial SSU rRNA". It matches the Rfam family "Bacterial small subunit ribosomal RNA", at positions 28 to 404 of the family's 1533-position model. The record is from RNAcentral.
GACGAACGCUGGCGGCGUGCUUAACACAUGCAAGUCGAGCGGUAAGGCCCUUUCGGGGGUACACGAGCGGCGAACGGGUGAGUAACACGUGGGUGACCUGCCCUCAGCUCUGGGAUAAGCCUGGGAAACUGGGUCUAAUACCGGAUAUGACCCCAUGACGCAUGUCGUGGGGUGGAAAGCCUUGUGCGGCUGAGGAUGGGCCCGCGGCCUAUCAGCUUGUUGGUGGGGUGAUGGCCUACCAAGGCGACGACGGGUAGCCGGCCUGAGAGGGCGACCGGCCACACUGGGACUGAGACACGGCCCAGACUCCUACGGGAGGCAGCAGUGGGGAAUCUUGCGCAAUGGGCGAAAGCCUGACGCAGCGACGCCGCGUGA